UACGGAGGGUGCGAGCGUUGUCCGGAAUCAUUGGGCGUAAAGGGCGCGUAGGUGGCCCGGUCAGUCCGUGGUGAAAGCGCGGGGCUCAACCCCGCGUCGGCCAUGGAUACUGCUGGGCUGGAGCACUGUAGAGGCAGGCGGAAUUCCGGGUGUAGCGGUGAAAUGCGUAGAUAUCGGGAAGAACACCCGUGGCGAAGGCGGUUCUCUGGGACGGUACUGACGCUGAGACGCGAAAGCGUGGGGAGCGAGCAGG
This 253-nucleotide ribosomal RNA is filed under the name uncultured bacterium. RNAcentral's name for it is "partial 16S ribosomal RNA". It matches the Rfam family "Bacterial small subunit ribosomal RNA", at positions 524 to 776 of the family's 1533-position model. The record is from RNAcentral.